GACGAACGCUGGCGGCGUGCUUAACACAUGCAAGUCGAACGGAAAGGCCCUGCUUUUGUGGGGUGCUCGAGUGGCGAACGGGUGAGUAACACGUGAGUAACCUGCCCUUGACUUUGGGAUAACUACAGGAAACUGGGGCUAAUACCGGAUAGGAGCUCCUGCUGCAUGGUGGGGGUUGGAAAGUUUCGGCGGUUGGGGAUGGACUCGCGGCUUAUCAGCUUGUUGGUGGGGUAGUGGCUUACCAAGGCUUUGACGGGUAGCCGGCCUGAGAGGGUGACCGGCCACAUUGGGACUGAGAUACGGCCCAGACUCCUACGGGAGGCAGCAGUGGGGAAUAUUGCUCAAUGGGCGGAAGCCUGAUGCAGCAACGCCGCGUGCGGGAUGACGGCCUUCCGGUUGUAAACCGCUUUCGCCUGUGACGAAGCGUGAGUGACGGUAAUGGGUAAAGAAGCACCGGCUAACUACGUG
This 468-nucleotide ribosomal RNA is filed under the name uncultured bacterium. RNAcentral's name for it is "partial 16S ribosomal RNA". It matches the Rfam family "Bacterial small subunit ribosomal RNA", at positions 28 to 507 of the family's 1533-position model. The record is from RNAcentral.